UAUUAUAAUUAAGAGAGGCACAAAUAGGAGAGGAAAAGAAAGAGAGGGAGAGAGAGUGAGAGACACAGGGUUUAGCUAACCUGUUUUCUUUCCCUUCCUCUCUCGACCAUUUCCCGCUUUCAUCAUCCCAACAAAUCUUUUGUCCUUCCUUUCCAUUUCUCUAGGAUCAGUAUAGCUGUUGGAAUUUCCAACAUGGAACACCGAAAUUAAGCAAGGAAGGAAGAUCCCCUGUUGUUGUUUAUGCAUUUUCGGCAACAUGGAUGCCCACCGAACUCUUCUGUUCUUCCCUUCAAAUUAUGAAGGGGGAGCUUUUGGAUUAUGAUUCAUAUGGAUGGAAAAGUAGCAUAUCAAGUCUAAAGAGAGAAAGUCAGAGGUUACGAGAAAAGGAGAAAAAUAGCAAAAGGCGAUGAGAUUAGUAUCAUGUUAUGGAGAGAUAACAUCAAAGUUUAACAUAUAUGGUUUAAUAUUUUGGAAUUCUUUGAAAUAUUAUGAGAUUGUGGAUUAAUUUGAUAGUGAUAUGGAGAUUUUAGAAUUGCAUACAUCCAUGUUGAAAUCAAUUAUCUAUUUUAUUCAA
This is a long non-coding RNA of Hevea brasiliensis (rubber tree), 574 nucleotides long. RefSeq lists it as uncharacterized. The record is from RefSeq and is a predicted model, not a curated record. Lineage: Eukaryota; Viridiplantae; Streptophyta; Magnoliopsida; Malpighiales; Euphorbiaceae. The transcript has 3 exons.